Long non-coding RNA from Oreochromis aureus, 3188 nucleotides. The record is from Ensembl. NCBI's taxonomy places the organism in Eukaryota, Metazoa, Chordata, Actinopteri, Cichliformes, Cichlidae.
GAAAGAGCACCAAUCCCACGUCUCAUUAUUUCACAUUGUUUAACUAAAAUGAAUCAGGAAAUAAAAAUGCAUUUCAUGGAUUUUCCUACAUCAUAUUGUUCUGGUCCACCAAACACAUUUUUCACAUUUUACUGUAAUUCUUAAAUGUUUGCAGGUGGAAGCAGAGUUUGCCUGCAUCACCACUGUCCUACUGACAUCCAAGUUCAUGCAACAGCUAGAAUUCUGUGUGGGUUAUUUUUGGGUGCUAUAACUUUUGGUGUUUCUUCCUGUUAUUCUUUCUAUAAUAACCUUUUCUCACAAGAUUUUUUACAAAGUAAGUAGAUUGGGAAAAAUCUCCUUAAACUUAAGAUUUAAACUGUUUAAACUGAUACUUUCAGCUGCAGAAACUAUUAAAAGUUUUGGGUAUUGUGGACUUUUCAGUGAUUACUUUUUGUGUUUCUUCCUUGUAGUUUAUUUUACUAGUGUUGUUUACUGCACAAUACAACAAUAAUCUCACACAUCGCCCUUUUCUUUGCGGUAGGAAGAUGACAUUUAAACUAAAAGAGCUUGUGUACUGAAGGUGCUAAUUGUUUAUCUCACUGAAGACCCAGAAACCCUCAUAAAGGAGAACAUGAUAAGUUUAGUGGCCUCUACUUUACACAAAUUUGCUCUCUGGAAGCAAAGAGAAUGUUUUUGCAGGUUUGUGUUCUGGCUAAAGAUGUAUUUAUUUUUAUUUUUAGGAAUCUGAGAACAACCAUUAGGGAACCCACAGACGACCUUGAAAAUGUUGGACUAAUCAUUGAAUGUGUCGAAGUGCUUCAUGACCUUGGUAACAUUGCAAAUCCAGUUGCCAUUUUGUUUGGCCUCAUUUACUCACUGGUCUUGAGCUACAGUUGAGCUACUUGAGUUCAGACAAGAAACUGCAAGAAAACAGAGAAGCACUGAAAGACUGUUUAGUGUAACCUUGAAAUGGAACUGAAGAACACAUGGAACAAGGGCUUUUGUCCCCAACGAUCAACAGAACUGGAAAGUUUUGGAUCCAGACAUUGAACUACUAAUGGCCUUUGGAAAUUAUGUCCUACCUCUCAGACCAUUCACUCAUCUGUGCAGUUCCUUACCUACCUUUUCAUCGCUGGUCACUCCGUCAUUCAGAUGACCUGCUCCACCUGCCUGCCCCCCUGCCGUCACCUCUGGUCUUGGAACUCUCGGGAACUCUGGACUGUCUGGAUCACAGUCAAAUUGACACUCACCCCGAACCCGCUGGCAGUUUUCUCCCCACGCUCCCUCCGACCUGCUCACAAAGCCUCUGACCCCAGCAUCUUUUAUCCUGAUCCCCUUCCUGCGCUGUACCAUAAUUGCCACCACUAGAAUCACAUAUAGUUACAUUUUGUAGUUUCAAUUUUUGUGUGUUUAUAAAUAAAUAUUCACUUUUGGGAAAAUCACUCAGCCUCCACCUCUGUCUGCAUUCCAGCCUGUUGUACUGGCAACCCUGCCGUGACAAAUGGAGAAUGUAACAAAGAUUGGCAUGAAAGAGGGGGAAAUGAGAGAUGUCAGAAGGGUUGUGUACCAUAUCUGAGCUGGUGAGUCCAGUCAGUCUACGUCAGAUGGUCGUCACAAAUUUGAGGAACCGGCCUUUAAGCAGCAGCCCUUUGGACUCUAUGAACAAUCAAAUCCUCUCCCUUUACCAUGACCUUGUUACGGGGUCCAAGGAGUUUCCUCAUAUUGCAGUCAGGGGAUUGUUUCACUCAGAGCAGAUGAGGACACCUUUUACCCCUGUGCUGCAGAGUUAGAGGGAGAACGCCACUCCAUCUCCUUCUACAGACUCACCAGCUGGUAUGAUGGUGCUGCCUGCAUGGUGCCACUUACAUUCUUAGAUCCUGACUCCUGUACUUCCAGACAAGGUGGAUAUUUAUGCGCUGAACACAGACCGGAGGAACGGUGUCCACACCCUGGAUGUCAGCCUCAUCGUCACCAGAGUCAUCUCUGCUGUUUAUCGCACAGAAAACAGUGAGAUGACAAGGCACUGGAGAGUCAGACUACAGCUCAGAGGACAGCGUUAUCAUGUCGGGAGAUCUGCCAGUUUCUAAAGAUGUUUGUAAAGGGUUAUGAAGAGGAAAAGAGCAGCAGCAGGAGCCCCACUCCACCAAAGAAACUGUGAAGCCUUCUCUGGAGAACUUAUUUUCUCAAGACUCUUUAAGUUUUAAGACUUCUGUCAACUGCAUUGGACAUAUGGCAGGGCUGUGACUGGAUGUUGAACCAGGGACAUCUAUUGUAGAGCCAACUGUAAAUCGAACUAAGGAUCCAUGAAGACAGUGUCAAGUGUAAAUUAUCCUCUGCUGCAUCUUAGACAACAGCAAGAAUGAACAAAGUGCGUGCCAGUUUAUGCGCGUCAUCAGGCCAGAAGGUCUUUCCAGCGCUGAAGCCAGCCACACCAGUCUUCCAUCUAGAUUCCAGGUGAUGCUGAUGACUUUCGCAAAGUGGCUACUACUUAACUGUUUGACUGAGCUUGAGUCAAUGCUGGAUUGUUGAGUUACCGAGAACUUGGAGAAGAGUGUGUCAUGGGAUUGGAGCAUUUGGGAGUUGGGAGCACAUUAACGGAAACCACUUCUUUGAAAGCUGUUUCACGAUUGUUCACAUUUAUCACUGUAAAUAAAACGCACUCUUUGGCUGGAAAAUCCUGCAUUUGGGUUCCAUUCUCGCCACACACCUUGACAUAAAUAAUAAACACUUUGAUUUAGAAACUUCAUUUUGUGUUUAGUUGUGUUGUCUAAUAUUUAGAUUUGUUCAAUGAUCUGAAACACUUUUUCACACCACUGUAUGUACAUAGAAGUUCUGUUCAAAUACCAUGAACAGAAUCAUUCCAACAAUGUGAACCUGAAGCUGUCACUGCAACUGUACUAAUGCCCAGUUUGUAACAACAGACAUGAUGCCUCAUGCUACAGAACAACCCCAAGAGAUGCAGUUAAAUGCGGCCUCAAAGUCCAAAAAAACCCCACACGCAUAUCGAUCAGUUGGGCAAACUUGUCGACACUGUUCUUCAGAGGAUAAAGUGCUGGUGGUGUGUUCCACCAUCAGACUUCCACACAAUGUUCCAGAGAUGUGCUAACCAGGAAAGCACAAGAGCCUUAAUGCCAUUUCCAGAACUUUUUUUUUUUUAAUUUAAUUGUAAUUCUAAGAGUCGUUUGGCACAUGUAAAUAAUGAUCAAAUG